AUUGAACGCUGGCGGCAGGCCUAACACAUGCAAGUCGAACGGUAACAGGAAACAGCUUGCUGUUUCGCUGACGAGUGGCGGACGGGUGAGUAAUGUCUGGGAAACUGCCUGAUGGAGGGGGAUAACUACUGGAAACGGUAGCUAAUACCGCAUAACGUCGCAAGACCAAAGAGGGGGACCCUCGGGCCUCUUGCCAUCGGAUGAGCCCAGAUGGGAUUAGCUUGUUGGUGGGGUAACGGCUCACCAAGGCGACGAUCCCUAGCUGGUCUGAGAGGAUGACCAGCCACACUGGAACUGAGACACGGUCCAGACUCCUACGGGAGGCAGCAGUGGGGAAUAUUGCACAAUGGGCGCAAGCCUGAUGCAGCCAUGCCGCGUGUAUGAAGAAGGCCUUCGGGUUGUAAAGUACUUUCAGCGGGGAGGAAGGGAGUAAAGUUAAUACCUUUGCUCAUUGACGUUACCCGCAGAAGAAGCACCGGCUAACUCCGUG
Molecule: ribosomal RNA, 490 nt
Filed under: uncultured bacterium
Lineage: Bacteria
Description: partial 16S ribosomal RNA
Rfam family: Bacterial small subunit ribosomal RNA
Source: RNAcentral